Molecule: ribosomal RNA, 253 nt
Filed under: uncultured bacterium
Lineage: Bacteria
Description: partial 16S ribosomal RNA
Rfam family: Bacterial small subunit ribosomal RNA
Source: RNAcentral
UACAUAGGGUGCGAGCGUUAAUCGGAAUUACUGGGCGUAAAGCGUGCGCAGGCGGUUCGUUGUGUCUGAUGUGAAAGCCCCGGGCUCAACCUGGGAAUGGCAUUGGAAACUGGCGAGCUAGAGUGUGGCAGAGGGGGGUGGAAUUCCGCGUGUAGCAGUGAAAUGCGUAGAGAUGCGGAGGAACACCGAUGGCGAAGGCAGCCCCCUGGGCUAGCACUGACGCUCAGGCACGAAAGCGUGGGGAGCAAACAGG